AAAAAAAACAAAAUGGACCCGAAAUUGUGCGACAGGUGAUUUAAGUGUACUUAUAUUACUACUAAGGUAUAUUGCAUUGCAUCGGUAUCGGUUACCAAUACCGAAACUUUGGGUACCGAGUAUUGGGCAACUCUGCACAUCACUAUUUUUUAAAAAAUGACACUUUCAUUGAGGGCAAUUGCAGCACAUAUCACAAUUUCCUGAAUGGCCCGAGUGAUUAUGAUGCGCUUUCCUUGGAGAUAUUCCACCCAAAACCCUCAUUCAUCCAAGUACGGCACAUUUACAACUCGUAAUCGAGUUCGCCUGAAGGAUGAAUGAGGAAUUUUAGUAUGAUGAAUGGAAGUGCGUGGCUCUUGGGAACUUCGGGUAUGCAGGCGAUACUCGCAGCACAAAUUCCUCUCGGAAAAAGCCAACCAUUAAAUGAUGCUGGAUUUAGCUAAAAGUGGUUGCAAAAUCGCGCACGACAAAUCACAUGCAUUUGGCCAAAACUUCUGUAUCGAUUGUGCGAAUUUGAAGUCUUGCAGGAUCUGUAUCGCACAGAUAAACCUUGUGUUCCAAAUUUUAUAGAAGAUCAGUCCUUUGACGAAAUACGAUGGAUAUGUUAUGAAGCUAAAAAAAAAACUGUUUCGAUCAGUUCGUUAAACAAUUCGCCAAAGAAGCCAUUGAAGCUAAUAAUAAAAUGAAAACAAUGGCGCAGAUAUCACCCCAUGUAGUAGAUAUUAUAUGCCGAUUGUAUGAUGCAACUUCAGAAGCCGCCACAAAUGUGGGUUUGACUAAAAGUAAUAAAACUAAUCCAUUUGGCCUUGAAAUUAGCGUUGCCAGUGACACAGCAUUGAUAUUUAAAAAAACCUGGCGCUACAUCCAGCAGUAAUAAAAAUUUUGGUGAUGCUUUUAACGAUCAUGGUCAUACUACCAAUGCCGGAUGCGUAUUUGGCGGAAUGGCACCUUCGACUCCUGGAGGAAUCCUUGGUGGAGCUUCCAAAUGCUAGUUCCAUAUUCGGAGGAGGCGGCCCACAAAAUCUAUUUGGUCAAACGCUGACAAGUACUGAUGUUACUGUUGGACGUUUUGGGCGCGCGCAGCAAGGGACCGGAGGUUUGUGUUCUUCCCAAGCUCAACAGAACGCAGGUGGUAGUUUAUUUAACCUAAGUAUUCAGAAGCAGCAAAUAACAAAUGGGGGAAACGUUUUUACCCAAUCCACGCGAUCUCAACAAAUGCAAACUCCGCCGAAUUUUGGCAUGUACCAGAGCAACAAACAGGAGGCGCAAUCAGUUUUUGUACAGCAAAAUGUUUUUUCACAACAAACCCCUGGUUGCAUAUUUGGUCAAGUGGCACAAACUACGUCUUCUGCCAACUUAAUUUGUCUGGUAAUUUUCCCCGGAAUAUGGUGAG
RNAcentral lists this unclassified non-coding RNA (1390 nucleotides) under Rhagoletis pomonella (apple maggot). RNAcentral describes it as "uncharacterized LOC118755260, transcript variant X3". The record is from RNAcentral. Lineage: Eukaryota; Metazoa; Arthropoda; Insecta; Diptera; Tephritidae.